This 1451-nucleotide ribosomal RNA is filed under the name Alistipes finegoldii. RNAcentral's name for it is "bacterial SSU rRNA". It matches the Rfam family "Bacterial small subunit ribosomal RNA". Lineage: Bacteria; Pseudomonadati; Bacteroidota; Bacteroidia; Bacteroidales; Rikenellaceae. The record is from RNAcentral.
GAUGAACGCUAGCGGCAGGCCUAACACAUGCAAGUCGAGGGGCAUCGGGAUUGAAGCUUGCUUCAAUUGCCGGCGACCGGCGCACGGGUGCGUAACGCGUAUGUAACCUACCUAUAACAGGGGCAUAACACUGAGAAAUUGGUACUAAUUCCCCAUAAUAUUCGGAGAGGCAUCUCUCCGGGUUGAAAACUCCGGUGGUUAUAGAUGGACAUGCGUUGUAUUAGCUAGUUGGUGAGGUAACGGCUCACCAAGGCAACGAUACAUAGGGGGACUGAGAGGUUAACCCCCCCACACUGGUACUGAGACACGGACCAGACUCCUACGGGAGGCAGCAGUGAGGAAUAUUGGUCAAUGGACGCAAGUCUGAACCAGCCAUGCCGCGUGCAGGAAGACGGCUCUAUGAGUUGUAAACUGCUUUUGUACGAGGGUAAACUCACCUACGUGUAGGUGACUGAAAGUAUCGUACGAAUAAGGAUCGGCUAACUCCGUGCCAGCAGCCGCGGUAAUACGGAGGAUUCAAGCGUUAUCCGGAUUUAUUGGGUUUAAAGGGUGCGUAGGCGGUUUGAUAAGUUAGAGGUGAAAUCCCGGGGCUUAACUCCGGAACUGCCUCUAAUACUGUUAGACUAGAGAGUAGUUGCGGUAGGCGGAAUGUAUGGUGUAGCGGUGAAAUGCUUAGAGAUCAUACAGAACACCGAUUGCGAAGGCAGCUUACCAAACUAUAUCUGACGUUGAGGCACGAAAGCGUGGGGAGCAAACAGGAUUAGAUACCCUGGUAGUCCACGCAGUAAACGAUGAUAACUCGUUGUCGGCGAUACACAGUCGGUGACUAAGCGAAAGCGAUAAGUUAUCCACCUGGGGAGUACGUUCGCAAGAAUGAAACUCAAAGGAAUUGACGGGGGCCCGCACAAGCGGAGGAACAUGUGGUUUAAUUCGAUGAUACGCGAGGAACCUUACCCGGGCUUGAAAGUUACUGACGAUUCUGGAAACAGGAUUUCCCUUCGGGGCAGGAAACUAGGUGCUGCAUGGUUGUCGUCAGCUCGUGCCGUGAGGUGUCGGGUUAAGUCCCAUAACGAGCGCAACCCCUACCGUUAGUUGCCAUCAGGUCAAGCUGGGCACUCUGGCGGGACUGCCGGUGUAAGCCGAGAGGAAGGUGGGGAUGACGUCAAAUCAGCACGGCCCUUACGUCCGGGGCUACACACGUGUUACAAUGGUAGGUACAGAGGGUCGCUACCCCGCGAGGGGAUGCCAAUCUCGAAAGCCUAUCUCAGUUCGGAUUGGAGGCUGAAACCCGCCUCCAUGAAGUUGGAUUCGCUAGUAAUCGCGCAUCAGCCAUGGCGCGGUGAAUACGUUCCCGGGCCUUGUACACACCGCCCGUCAAGCCAUGGAAGCUGGGGGUGCCUGAAGUUCGUGACCGCAAGGAGCGACCUAGGGCAAAACCGGUAACUGGGGCU